CCAGGACGUUGGCUUAGAAGCAGCCAUCGUUUAAAGAAAGCGUAAUAGCUCACUGGUCUAAUGGCUCUGCGCCGAAAAUGUAACGGGGCUAAGCAUGGUACCGAAGCUUUGGCAAUCUCCUUUGGAGAUUGGGUAGGGGAGCGUUCGCUGCGGGCUGAAGGUGUAUCGGAAGGUAUGCUGGACUGCAGUGAAGUGAUUAUGCUGACAUGAGUAACGAUAAAACGGGUGAAAAACCCGUUCGCCGUAAACCCAAGGUUUUCCGGGUAAAGGUAAUCUUCCCGGAGUUAGUCGGCCCCUAAGGCGAGGCUGAAAGGCGUAGCUGAUGGGAAACGUGUUAAUAUUCACGUACUUGUGUGUUCGCGCGAUGAAGGGACGCAGGAAGAUAGGCAAGCCGGGCGCUGGUUGUCCCGGUGCAAGCGUGUAGGGAUGAGAAGUUGGCAAAUCCGCUUCUCUCUAUCCUGAGACGCGAGUCCGUGACCGAAAGGUCUGAAGUUGUUGAGUCUAUGCUGCCUAGAAAAGCUCCUAAGUUUAUCCACAGCAAUCCGUACCGCAAACCAACUCAGGUGGGUGGGAUGAACAAUCCAAGGCGCUCGAGAGAACUCUGGCCAAGGAACUCGGCAAAAUAACCCCGUAACUUCGGAAGAAGGGGUGCUCUCUAGGGUGACAUGUUUAACAUAUGAAGCCCCGGGGAGCCGCAGUGAAUUGGUGGUGGCGACUGUUUACUAAAAACAUAGGUCUGUGCGAAGUCCUAAAGACGACGUAUACGGACUGACGCCUGCCCGGUGCUGGAAGGUUAAAAGGAGGGGUCAGCGCAAGCAAAGCUCCGAAUUGAAGCCCCAGUAAACGGCGGCCGUAACUAUAACGGUCCUAAGGUAGCGAAAUUCCUUGUCGGGUAAGUUCCGACCUGCACGAAUGGCGUAACGAUCUCCACACUGUCUCGGCCAGAGACUCGGUGAAAUUGCAGUCGCGGUGAAAAUUCCGUGUACCCGCAGAAAGACGGAAAGACCCUGUGCACCUUUACUAUAGCUUGACAUUGGAUUUUGGGCCUGCAUGUGUAGGAUAGGUGGGAGGCUGUGAACCCUGUACGCCAGUAUGGGGGGAGCCAUCCUUGAAAUACCACCCUUGCAUGUUUAAGAUCCUAACUUCUUCCGGUUAUCCCGGAGAAAGACAGUGUCUGGCGGGUAGUUUGACUGGGGCGGUCGCCUCCUAAAGUGUAACGGAGGCAUGCAAAGGUUCCCUCAGCCUGAUCGGAAACCAGGCGCUGAGUGCAAACGCAUAAGGGAGCUUGACUGUAAGAGAGACAUCUCGAACAGGAACGAAAGUUGGCGUUAGUGAUCCGGUGGUCCCGAAUGGAAGGGCCAUCGCUCAUUGGAUAAAAGGUACGCCGGGGAUAACAGGCUGAUCGCAUCCAAGAGUUCACAUCGACGAUGCGGUUUGGCACCUCGAUGUCGGCUCAUCACAUCCUGGGGCUGAAGCAGGUCCCAAGGGUACGGCUGUUCGCCGUUUAAAGUGGUACGCGAGCUGGGUUUAAAACGUCGUGAGACAGUUUGGUCCCUAUCUUCUGUGGGCGAAGGAGAAUUGAGAGGGCCUGUCCCUAGUACGAGAGGACCGGGAUGGACGCACCCCUGGUGAUCCUGUUGUCGCGCCAGCGGCAUAGCAGGGUAGCUAUGUGCGGAAGGGAUAACCGCUGAAAGCAUCUAAGCGGGAAGCCUGCCUCAAGAUAAGUUCUCCCCUCGAAAGAGCUGAAGGGCCCGGGUAGACUACCCGGUCGAUAGGCUGGAGGUGUAAGCGCGGCGACGUGCUCAGCUGACCAGUACUAAUAGCCCGAGCGGCUUAUUU
Molecule: ribosomal RNA, 1839 nt
Filed under: human gut metagenome
Description: bacterial LSU rRNA
Rfam family: Bacterial large subunit ribosomal RNA
Source: RNAcentral